RNAcentral lists this microRNA (22 nucleotides) under Petromyzon marinus (sea lamprey). Its description in RNAcentral is "Pma-Mir-132-o1_3p (mature (guide))". RNAcentral also lists the same sequence under 7 other names. Lineage: Eukaryota; Metazoa; Chordata; Hyperoartia; Petromyzontiformes; Petromyzontidae. The record is from RNAcentral.
UAACAGUCUACAGCCAUGGUUG